GGACAGCAGGACAGGCAGGGGUUGGAGUGGGCAUAGGAUUUCCAUCCCAAGUUCCCAGACCAUCUGUGGGGGUGCACGGGAGGCGUCAGAGCAAAAAUAAACCCCGGGACUCAGUGGCAAGGACCCGGUCACGAGAGGGGUGAGGUCUCUGUGGAAGGACAGGCCCUGAGCCCGGGCUCAUCAGCUGCCUUCCCAGGCAGGUGCCUCAGGGCCCAGCCUCUGUGUGGGCUCAGGGGGCUGUGCUGAGCCCCUGAGAGCCUCCCACCUGAGACUGGAGUCACCUCUGGCCUCCUCAGAAGCAGAACCUUCCCUGCCAGCUCAGAGGCACCUGCAGACCCAAGUGUGUGUGUUUCCCAAGAAGUGGAACAGGGACUGAGGACGCCCAGGGUGGGCCUCACGUACAAAACCCCUCUGUGCUUUUCAAAGAAGGAAACCAGAAAAGGAUCAAGGUGAAGUGGGGGAAUGGCUCAGCAUCGGAAAUAAAUCUAUCACUUUGAAAAGUAAGGCUCUGAGGGUCCCAGAAGCCCCCAGAGAUGACAGCUUCACCUGUCCCUAGGAACAAGCACCAAGUCUCCUAGGAAGUCAUCUGCAGAGGCCUGAUGGGGAAGCUCCUGAUUGCAGAGUUCUCUUGAAAGAACUGGAGAACCUUGAGGUCUACACUUUCCGGCUGGAAAAGUGCCUGAGGAAGCUCCCUGGGGGAGAGCAGCUUCCACUGCCUUCUAAGCCGAGACUGCCUGAGCAAGUUGUUCAGACGAGGCCCUUGAAGAGUUCACUGGCCAGGUGGGGGGUGUGAGACAGCUUCUCCCACCAGGUUGUCCCCACGGGCUCCUCGGCUCCUCUGGCCUUCAUGCCAUCAUCAGUCCCAAAGACCUCCAUAGGGUCCUCUGGGUCUCUGUCAUCCCUGUGCUCCUCCAAGCUACCAGUGUCUUCGUGUCCUCUGAAGCACCCUUUAUACGAGCCAUACGCAAGCACCCUAUCAGCAAACCUGGGCACCUCCAUAAAAUCCCUGGGGUCUCUGUCAUCCCUGAGCUUCUUCCAGUGACCAGCACCUUUGCGUUCCCUGGAGCAUCUUUCACACAAACCACGUGGGCAUGCCCCUCCCCGACGAUGGAAUCCCGGCUUGGUGUCCUGGUCCGACUCCACACAGGCUGAUUCUCAAACUGACCCCAUAAUAUGUCAAAUGUGCGACGCCCCUGAACUGUGUAGCUGGUGGGUGCCUUCUAGCCCUGGAGUGAUUCGAGGCGUUAGUCGCCACAGUGAUCCCAACCUGGGCCUCUCCUGGGGGCAGGAGGCUGCUAGAGCCCGGUGCCACUGCACCUCCUCACAGUUCCCAUUCGAGCACCCUAAUCUUCCCACCCACCUACCAAAGGCUUCCUUCUAGGGAGACGCCACAUGCAGGCAGGUGGAGGCAGGAGCCGCACUUUCCUCAGCCUGAACGUGCCAACGCUGCUGGAUGCACAAGACACCAAAAUCCCAGACACUCCCAUGGACGCCGCACACCCGACAUCCACGAACAACUGGGAAUCUCCUGAGGACAACUUGGAGGCACGUCCCUUCCCUGAUCCGGGCACCCCACAGACGCUGGAAACACGUGUUCUAAUGGAUUGGGAGAGGAACUAGUGGAGACGCUGGCUGUGUCUAGGCCAAGAGCAGGCCUGUCCCGGUGCACACGAAGUGUUCAAGGCAGUUUAUUAAAGUACAAGA
This is an RNA transcript of Pongo pygmaeus (Bornean orangutan), 1704 nucleotides long. RefSeq lists it as uncharacterized. Lineage: Eukaryota; Metazoa; Chordata; Mammalia; Primates; Hominidae. The transcript is spliced from 4 exons. The record is from RefSeq and is a predicted model, not a curated record.